GAAGCCCCGGCACCUUUUAGGGUGCUGCUCCAAAUUUGCACUUUGGUGUGUGGCCACCCCAGGGCU
Molecule: transfer RNA, 66 nt
Filed under: Teratoscincus przewalskii (Przewalski's wonder gecko)
Lineage: Eukaryota; Metazoa; Chordata; Lepidosauria; Squamata; Sphaerodactylidae
Description: tRNA-Cys
Source: RNAcentral